Non-coding RNA from Phascolarctos cinereus (koala), 963 nucleotides. The record is from RefSeq and is a predicted model, not a curated record. NCBI's taxonomy places the organism in Eukaryota, Metazoa, Chordata, Mammalia, Diprotodontia, Phascolarctidae.
ACUGAGAGAGGACAACCAAGUUGAUGAAGUGCCUUGAAGUGAUGUCAUAUAAGGAUCAGUUGGAGGAACUAUGGAUCUGUAGCGUGAAAAAAGAGAAAACUUAAGAAAGGAGAGAGGUAGGAUUGAAAACCCUCUUCAAGAAUUUAAAUGGGUUUUAUGUAGAACAGAAAACAACAACAACACUGGUUUGGUUUGACCCCAGAGUGCAGAACCAGCAUUAACAGAUCACAGCUGGAGUAUUGCGCCAGUUCUGGGCACCAUAUUGACAAGUUGAAAGCAUUCAGAGAAAGAUAACCAGACUGCACAGUCUUUGCACACAAUAGGAAUUUCAUCAAAAUUUGUUGAAAUGAAAAUUCAGCAAAGGAAUUAUAGCCAGCAAAUGGCAGAACCAGAAUUUGAACCCAAGUCCUUGGACUCCAUAUCCAGUGGUCUUGCCAGUACGCCACUUCGUUGAAUAGGGAGAGGAUAAGUCGGUGUUUAUUAAGUUAAGGAUCUCCUGUGAUCAUUUGAGCUGCUGAGUAGAGGACCUACUGAAAUGGAGAGAGAGAAAUCAGGGAGAUGGAUUAGAAGGCUAUGAGAGGCUUCCCUAUACCUUGAGAUACAACAAUAUUGAAAUUAGGCCAAUUAAUAACCCUACAACGACCUUUAAGUUUUCAAGUGAAAGGAAGCAUCAAUUGAUGGGGCAAACUGCCUUGUUGGCUUGUUUUAAGAAAUUGUUACAGGCACCCCAGCCUUCAGCAAUCACCACCCUGAUCAGCCAGCAGCCAUCAGCAUCAAGGCAAGAAUCUCUUCCAGAAAAUGCAUGACUCACUAAAGACUCAGAAGAUGGUUAGCAUUUUUUUUUAGCAAUAAAGGGUUUUUAAUUAAGGUAUGCACAUUGUUUAUUCAGACAUGCCACUAUUGCACACUUAAUAGACCACAAUAUAGUGUAAACACAACUUUUAUAUGUACUGGGAAAUAAAA